Molecule: non-coding RNA, 68 nt
Organism: Phthorimaea operculella (potato tuberworm)
Lineage: Eukaryota; Metazoa; Arthropoda; Insecta; Lepidoptera; Gelechiidae
Source: the annotation of a GenBank genome assembly
ACGAAUAGCUUAGUGGUGAGAGCAUUGGCACGGUACGCCGAAAGGCGUAGGUUUGAAUCCUACUCGUG